GACGAACGCUGGCGGCGUGCUUAACACAUGCAAGUCGAACGGAAAGGCCCUGCUUUUGUGGGGUGCUCGAGUGGAGAACGGGUGAGUAACACGUGAGUAACCUGCCCUUGACUUUGGGAUAACUUCAGGAAACUGGGGCUAAUACCGGAUAGGAGCUACUGCUGCAGGGUGGGGGUUGGAAAGUUUCGGCGGUUGGGGAUGGAAUAGCGGCUUAUCAGCUUGUUGGUGGGGUAGUGGCUUACCAAGGCUUUGACGGGUAGCCGGCCUGAGAGGGUGACCGGCCACACUACACCUGGAAUGCGACCCAGACUCGUCCCGUAGGCAGCAGUGGGGUAUAUUGCACUAUGGGCUGAACCAAGAUGUAGUCCCGCCGCGUGGGGUAUGACGGCCUUCGGUUUGUAUUCCACUGUCGCCUUAGCCGAAGCGUUAGUGACAGUACUGGGUAAAUAAGCACCGGCUAACUACGUG
RNAcentral lists this ribosomal RNA (468 nucleotides) under uncultured bacterium. RNAcentral's name for it is "partial 16S ribosomal RNA". It matches the Rfam family "Bacterial small subunit ribosomal RNA", at positions 28 to 507 of the family's 1533-position model. The record is from RNAcentral.